This 26-nucleotide non-coding RNA is filed under the name Homo sapiens (human). Lineage: Eukaryota; Metazoa; Chordata; Mammalia; Primates; Hominidae. The record is from RNAcentral.
UUUGAUGACGUACUGAAUAAACAGUG